CUAAGUUUGAUGGCGACCGGCGCACGGGUGAGUAACACGUAUCCAACCUGCCGAUGACUCGGGGAUAGCCUUUCGAAAGAAAGAUUAAUACCCGAUGGCAUAGUUCUUCCGCAUGGUGGAACUAUUAAAGAAAUUUCGGUCAUCGAUGGGGAUGCGUUCCAUUAGGUUGUUGGCGGGGGUAACGGGCCCACCAAGCCUUCGAUGGAUAGGGGUUCUGAGAGGAAGGUCCCCCACAUUGGAACUGAGACACGGUCCAAACUCCUACGGGAGGCAGCAUG
This 278-nucleotide ribosomal RNA is filed under the name uncultured bacterium. RNAcentral describes it as "partial 16S ribosomal RNA". It matches the Rfam family "Bacterial small subunit ribosomal RNA", at positions 79 to 353 of the family's 1533-position model. The record is from RNAcentral.